This 87-nucleotide transfer RNA is filed under the name Clostridia bacterium. Its description in RNAcentral is "tRNA-Leu". It matches the Rfam family "tRNA". Rfam says of the family: Transfer RNA (tRNA) molecules are approximately 80 nucleotides in length. Their secondary structure includes four short double-helical elements and three loops (D, anti-codon, and T loops). Lineage: Bacteria; Bacillati; Bacillota; Clostridia. The record is from RNAcentral.
GCGGGUAUGGCGGAAUUGGCAGACGCGUAUGAUUCAGGUUCAUAUAUUCGCAAGGAUGUGCAGGUUCAACUCCUGUUACCCGCACCA